This 654-nucleotide ribosomal RNA is filed under the name Lacticaseibacillus rhamnosus. RNAcentral describes it as "bacterial SSU rRNA". It matches the Rfam family "Bacterial small subunit ribosomal RNA", at positions 371 to 1016 of the family's 1533-position model. Lineage: Bacteria; Bacillati; Bacillota; Bacilli; Lactobacillales; Lactobacillaceae. The record is from RNAcentral.
AUGGACGCAAGUCUGAUGGAGCAACACCGCGUGAGUGAAGAAGGCUUUCGGGUCGUAAAACUCUGUUGUUGGAGAAGAAUGGUCGGCAGAGUAACUGUUGUCGGCGUGACGGUAUCCAACCAGAAAGCCACGGCUAACUACGUGCCAGCAGCCGCGGUAAUACGUAGGUGGCAAGCGUUAUCCGGAUUUAUUGGGCGUAAAGCGAGCGCAGGCGGUUUUUUAAGUCUGAUGUGAAAGCCCUCGGCUUAACCGAGGAAGUGCAUCGGAAACUGGGAAACUUGAGUACAGAAGAGGACAGUGGAACUCCAUGUGUAGCGGUGAAAUGCGUAGAUAUAUGGAAGAACACCAGUGGCGAAGGCGGCUGUCUGGUCUGUAACUGACGCUGAGGCUCGAAAGCAUGGGUAGCGAACAGGAUUAGAUACCCUGGUAGUCCAUGCCGUAAACGAUGAAUGCUAGGUGUUGGAGGGUUUCCGCCCUUCAGUGCCGCGGCUAACGCAUUAAGCAUUCCGCCUGGGGAGUACGACCGCAAGGUUGAAACUCAAAGGAAUUGACGGGGGCCCGCACAAGCGGUGGAGCAUGUGGUUUAAUUCGAAGCAACGCGAAGAACCUUACCAGGUCUUGACAUCUUUUGAUCACCUGAGAGAUCAGGUUUCC